This 254-nucleotide ribosomal RNA is filed under the name uncultured bacterium. RNAcentral describes it as "partial 16S ribosomal RNA". It matches the Rfam family "Bacterial small subunit ribosomal RNA", at positions 524 to 776 of the family's 1533-position model. The record is from RNAcentral.
UACGUAGGGGGCAAGCGUUGUCCGGAAUUAUUGGGCGUAAAGAGCUCGUAGGCGGUGUGUCACGUCGGCCGUGAAAACCUGCAGCUUAACUGUGGGCGUGCGGUCGAUACGGGCAUCACUGGAGUUCGGCAGGGGAGACUGGAAUUCCCAGUGUAGAGGUGAAAUUCGUAGAUAUUGGGAAGAACACCGGUGGCGAAGGCGGCUCACUGGCUCAUUUCUGACGCUCAGGCGCGACAGCGUGGGGAUCAAACAGG